Long non-coding RNA from Melitaea cinxia (Glanville fritillary), 517 nucleotides. RefSeq lists it as uncharacterized. NCBI's taxonomy places the organism in Eukaryota, Metazoa, Arthropoda, Insecta, Lepidoptera, Nymphalidae. The record is from RefSeq and is a predicted model, not a curated record. The transcript is spliced from 2 exons.
AGAAAAGCAGUUUUGACAUCAAACUGUAACAUUUCUAGUUCAUGUUGACAUACUUCUGAAAGUAGAAUUCGCAAAGAAUCAUAUCUCACAGUCGGAGAAAAUGUUUCUGUAUAAUCAAUUAGGUAAUUCUGUGAACAUCCUUUUGCACAGAGUCUAGAUUUAUAGACUGCACCAGAUGGCUCGUCCUUUAUACGAAAAAUCCACUUACAGCCAAUUACCUUUGAACCUUGUGGUUUCUCUACCAAUGUCCAUGUCUCAUUUUGCUCAUGUGCUUUUAAUUCCUCUUCUAUUGAAUGUUGCCAUUUAUCUUUAUUUCUAGAUGAUAUAGCUUCAGAGUAUGUCUGUGGUACAUUUUCAUUAUCGGGAACUUCACCUGUACAGAGGAUUAUAUAUAGAGCUUUCAUCAGAAUGAAAUGAAUCAUCACUGCUUGUUACUGUACUUAUAUUAUUUGAUUGAGAACUAUCAGAUGAAGUUUCAUACAUCUCUGUGCUGUCCAUUAAAGGCUCUGUUUCAUUA